This 367-nucleotide ribosomal RNA is filed under the name uncultured Eubacteriales bacterium. RNAcentral describes it as "bacterial SSU rRNA". It matches the Rfam family "Bacterial small subunit ribosomal RNA", at positions 529 to 896 of the family's 1533-position model. Lineage: Bacteria; Bacillati; Bacillota; Clostridia; Eubacteriales. The record is from RNAcentral.
AGGGGGCAAGCGUUAUCCGGAUUUACUGGGUGUAAAGGGAGCGUAGACGGCAGGGCAAGCCAGAAGUGAAAACGCAGAGCUUAACUUUGCGACUGCUUUUGGAACUGCCCAGCUAGAGUACAGGAGAGGUAAGUGGAAUUCCUAGUGUAGCGGUGAAAUGCGUAGAUAUUAGGAGGAACACCAGUGGCGAAGGCGGCUUACUGGACUGAGACUGACGUUGAGGCUCGAAAGCGUGGGGAGCAAACAGGAUUAGAUACCCUGGUAGUCCACGCUGUAAACGAUGAAUACUAGGUGUUGGGGGCGAUAGCCUCCGGUGCCGCAGCAAACGCAGUAAGUAUUCCACCUGGGGAGUACGUUCGCAAGAAUG